GGGGAUAGCCGUUGGGAACGACGAAUAAUACCCUAUGAAACUAUCACUUCGCAUGAAGCGAUAGUCAAAGUGUUAGCGGUAUAAGAUGGACUUGCGUCUGAUUAGCUAGUUGGUGAGAAAAAGCCCACCAAGGCAACGAUCAGUAGCCGGCUUGAGAGAGUGUACGGCCACAUUGGGACUGAGACACGGCCCAG
RNAcentral lists this ribosomal RNA (194 nucleotides) under uncultured Eubacteriales bacterium. RNAcentral describes it as "uncultured Clostridiales bacterium partial 16S ribosomal RNA". It matches the Rfam family "Bacterial small subunit ribosomal RNA", at positions 139 to 334 of the family's 1533-position model. The record is from RNAcentral. Lineage: Bacteria; Bacillati; Bacillota; Clostridia; Eubacteriales.